Arvicola amphibius (Eurasian water vole) is the source of this 103-nucleotide small nuclear RNA. Lineage: Eukaryota; Metazoa; Chordata; Mammalia; Rodentia; Cricetidae. The record is from RefSeq and is a predicted model, not a curated record.
GUGCUUAGGCAGCACAUAUAUUAAAAUUGGAAUGCUACAAAUAAGAUUAGCAUGGCCCCUGUGCAAAGAUGACACACGAACUUGUGAAACAUUCCAUACUUUU